GAGAAGACGGGAGAGCACUCUGUUUUGGUUCUUCACCGUCCGAGACAAAUCAUUAAAUAAAGACUGAUGUGAGAUCCACUAACAGACAGGGAGUAGAGGAGAAGAAAGACAAGUGAUAACGACUCUCUCAUCAGCUAUGGGGAAUGGUGGAAGCAGAGUAAACCCAACAGCGGUCGGGAUCGCUGUGGGUUUUGGAAUCCUGGCCAUCCUCUUCACCAUUGCCAUUGUGCAAUUCUGCUGCAAGUACAAGUGCAAAAAGUGUAAAAAAUGCUGCAAGAAAAAACAGCCGUCGUUGAAAGACAAGGUGCUUACAAAGGUCGGCUUGAAGAAGUCCCCCCUCCAUUUUCCAUCAGCAGCAUCAUAAAGUAACAACUUGGUGGCAGUUGAUUCCUGCAACCACCAUGGUCUCAGGCACAGUCAUCGUCUGUCACUUUCCUACACACCAUUUGUCUCGAUUUCAUCUUGUAUGUUAUUUGUUUCAUUUUUCAGCUGCUAUUCACAUUGAUUUUUAAACCUGAAUACUGAUGUGGGACUUUAGCACAUGAUUUUCAGAUGACCUUGAACUCUUCUAUGAACUCAUGCUUUGUAAUCAUUUUAAUGCCCUCUGGUCAACUUUAAUGUUUAGGUGUAUCAUUUAAACAAAAUGCCUGCUCAGACACACAUUUCACGCUGUUCUGUGGGUUGUUUUUUUGUUGUUGUUGCCAUUUUAACGUUAUUUUAAAAGUGAUGAAAAUACCUGUAAAUAAAUAUUCUCACACAGUUUUUCUUUGCUAGUUUUGCUCUGUGUCAUGAGAAACUGUCAUCAUGCUGCGGCAUUCUUGUGAUACGCACACGCCCUCACACCACAGAGAAACAAGCGAUCCACUGCACUGCUGAUGAGAAAAGCUUUUUGAGGUGGAGGCAGAACAUCAGCAGCGCAGCCACAGCAACCAGCCGGAUCACUUUUCUUGUAAGCUGCAGGUGACUUCCCUCCCCAUAGAUAUCUCUACUACCUUUGUGAUAC
Acanthochromis polyacanthus (spiny chromis) is the source of this 1003-nucleotide long non-coding RNA. RefSeq lists it as uncharacterized. The transcript has 4 exons. The record is from RefSeq and is a predicted model, not a curated record. Lineage: Eukaryota; Metazoa; Chordata; Actinopteri; Pomacentridae.